AACCAUUCUCACCUGCGGCUAGACCUGCGGAAGGAUCAUUAAUGAAUAAACUUGGUCGAGCUGUUGCUGGUCCUUCGGGAUAUGUGCACGCUUGCCACCAAUUUUAACCACCUGUGCACUUAUUGUAGACUGGAAACGUUUCUCGAGGCAACUCGGAUUGAGAACUGCUGCGCGAAAGCCGGCUGUUCUUGUGUUUCUCAGUCUAUGUCUUCAUAUACUCCGAAUGUAUGUAUAAGAAUG
This 240-nucleotide unclassified non-coding RNA is filed under the name soil metagenome. Its description in RNAcentral is "partial contains 5.8S ribosomal RNA, internal transcribed spacer 2, and large subunit ribosomal RNA". The record is from RNAcentral.